AAAGGGUACGCAGGCUGCCAGGUAAGUUAGUGGUGAAAGUCCGGGCUUAACUCCGGAAUUGCCAUUGAUACUGUCUGGCUAGAGUUACUUAUAUAGNUUGCAGGAAUUCCUAGUGUAGGAGUGANAUCUGUAGAUUAUUAGGAGGAACACCAAUGGCGAAGGCAAGCAACUGGGUAGUAACUGACGCUUAGGUACGAAAGCCAGGGGAGCGAAUGGGAUUAGAGACCCCAGUAGUCCUGGCCGUAAACGCUGCAUACUAGUUCUAUGGGUAUUUGAUUAUCUGUGGAACGUAGCUAACGCGUUAAGUAUGCCGCCUGGGGAGUAUGCGCGCAAGCGUGAAACUCAAAGGAAUUGACGGGGGCUCGCACAAGCGGUGGAGCAUGUGGUUUAAUUCGAUGAUACGCGAACAACCUUACCUGGGCUUGAACGUGUAGUGACAGCUGAUGAGAGUCAGUUUCUCUUCGGAGCGCUAUGCGAGGUGCUGCAUGGCUGUCGUCAGCUCGUGUUGUGAAAUGUUGGGUUAAGUCCCGCAACGAGCGCAACCCUUGUCCUAUGUUGCUAGCUCACUUCGGUGGGAAGGACUCUUAGGAGACUGCCUGGGUUAACCAGGAGGAAGGUGGGGAUGACGUCAAGUCCUCAUGGCCCUUAUGUCCAGGGCUACACACGUGCUACAAUGGGGAGUACAGAGGGAAGCAAGACCGCGAGGUUUAGCAAAUCCCAAAAAACUUCUCUCAGUUCGGAUCGGAGUCUGCAACUCGACUCCGUGAAGUUGGAAUCGCUAGUAAUCACAGAUCAGCAUGCUGUGGUGNAUACGUUCUCGAGCCUUGUACACACCGCCCGUCACACCACCCGAGUUAGACUACCCGAAGUCGCU
Molecule: ribosomal RNA, 874 nt
Filed under: uncultured organism
Description: bacterial SSU rRNA
Rfam family: Bacterial small subunit ribosomal RNA
Source: RNAcentral